AAUAGAUAAAAUAUUAAUAAAUAAAAAAUAAAUUUGGUGUAUAUGAUAUUUUCGUAGACCGGGUGCAUGUAAUAUAUAUUAUUGAAGUGGAGAAGGGAAAGAGAGGAGGACACAUGUCACUCCCAUGGCUUUUGAUGUGACCUAACUCAUAAAUUAGAUAUCUAGUAGACCAGGUGUAUGCAAUAUAUAUUAUUGAAGUGGAGAAGGCAAACAGAGGAGAACACAUGUCACUCUUAUGACUUUUGAUGUGACCCAACUCUCAAAUUAUAUAUCACUCCCAUGGCUUUUGAUGUGACCCAACUCUCAAAUUAUAUAUCUAAUAGAAGAUAGAUAAUAAAUAACAUAUUCUAUCAUUGUAGCA
RNAcentral lists this long non-coding RNA (361 nucleotides) under Ananas comosus (pineapple). RNAcentral describes it as "long non-coding RNA (ACOM_LNC030732)". The record is from RNAcentral. Lineage: Eukaryota; Viridiplantae; Streptophyta; Magnoliopsida; Poales; Bromeliaceae.